GUCGACGAGUUCUCGUUGAUGAUCGGUGCUUGCACCGAGAUUCAACAUGGAACGAGUGGCGGACGGGUGAGUAACACGUGGGUAACCUGCCCUUAAGUGGGGGAUAACAUCUGGAAACAGAUGCUAAUACCGCAUAGAUCCAAGAACCGCAUGGUUCUUGGCUGAAAGAUGGCGUAAGCUAUCGCUUUUGGAUGGACCCGCGGCGUAUUAGCUGGUUGGUGAGGUAAUGGCUCACCAAGGCGAUGAUACGUAGCCGAACUGAGAGGUUGAUCGGCCACAUUGGGACUGAGACACGGCCCAAACUCCUACGGGAGGCAGCAGUAGGGAAUCUUCCACAAUGGACGCAAGUCUGAUGGAGCAACGCCGCGUGAGUGAAGAAGGCUUUCGGGUCGUAAAACUCUGUUGUUGGAGAAGAAUGGUCGGCAGAGUAACUGUUGUCGGCGUGACGGUAUCCAACCAGAAAGCCACGGCUAACUACGUGCCAGCAGCCGCGGUAAUACGUAGGUGGCAAGCGUUAUCCGGAUUUAUUGGGCGUAAAGCGAGCGCAGGCGGUUUUUUAAGUCUGAUGUGAAAGCCCUCGGCUUAACCGAGGAAGCGCAUCGGAAACUGGGAAACUUGAGUGCAGAAGAGGACAGUGGAACUCCAUGUGUAGCGGUGAAAUGCGUAGAUAUAUGGAAGAACACCAGUGGCGAAGGCGGCUGUCUGGUCUGUAACUGACGCUGAGGCUCGAAAGCAUGGGUAGCGAACAGGAUUAGAUACCCUGGUAGUCCAUGCCGUAAACGAUGAAUGCUAGGUGUUGGAGGGUUUCCGCCCUUCA
This 817-nucleotide ribosomal RNA is filed under the name uncultured bacterium. RNAcentral's name for it is "bacterial SSU rRNA". It matches the Rfam family "Bacterial small subunit ribosomal RNA", at positions 61 to 842 of the family's 1533-position model. The record is from RNAcentral.